RNAcentral lists this long non-coding RNA (4706 nucleotides) under Pelobates cultripes (western spadefoot toad). Lineage: Eukaryota; Metazoa; Chordata; Amphibia; Anura; Pelobatidae. The record is from RNAcentral.
GCAUGUAACAACUUAACAAUCUGGUACUCCACGCCACAACAGCAGUAGGAAACCUUGGUGUAUCUGUAUACAACUUGGCAUGGGUAGUACUGUGCACAUUUUAAAUAAUAGCAUGAACGUAAACAAGAUAAUUAAACAUGUGAAAUGGUGUUUGUUAUUGAAACCUCAGAUAAAAAGCAAGCUUCAAGUAGUAUGUGUGAGGGUUCUCGCUUAAUGUACGUGUUAGGCAGUGUAUGAGUUAUCAUUGUGUGGUAGUCAGGCUUAGGCAUAGGAGAACACCCGGAGGGUUAUUAUUUACAAAUGAGUCUGCAGUAGUUGGGUAUAUAUGUGUAUGCAUUGAGUCGCUGAUCUGGGAAGUGGGGGUGCCGUCACUAUGCCAGUAUGUUUGGACUGUAGUGAAUGUACCAUGGGGUAACAGAGUGGUUAAGUAGUCAAAAGAGGGGAAAAUAGGAAUAAGACUAUGUCGCCACCGUCAUAUGAGUGGUUUGCAUGAGGGCCGGUAAGACCCGUGUGGGUUGUACGUGUCUUACAUAUGAGCCGUGGGGGUGCGGCGUGUGCCUGCGUCCAGCUGUGGGUGUUAACGUGGUGGCGUAGUCAUGGAUUCUGUCGCUGAGGGGUAAGUGAAGAAUUGUGCCUGAUGUUGGGCAAGUGCUGAGAUGUUAAAUAAAGAAAUAAACAAUAACAAAAAAAAAUAACAAUUAGGGUGUGACCGUGACCGAGGAUCUCGGUCGCUUGUGGGAAGCAUUUGCUCCCCCUUCCCCUCCAAUCAGCGGACGUGUCCUUGCUGGGAGUUAGUUCCUCCUGUGCCCCGGUGACCCAUAGGCAUAAGAGUGGGAGGAGGGUGCGUUAGGGGGCAGAUGAAUACUGAGCCAGUCUGUCGGAGGGGUGGUGGGGUGUAUCUCAAGUCCCGGCUGGGUGAGUGAAGCUGCAAUGUCCCAGUCCUAGUAUAUGUUCAGUGGGAGAUGGGUUCCGUUGCCUUUAAGUAGUGGCUCGGGCGUAGGGCUCCGCAGCGGCCGAUCGGGGCUCAAACACUGCCGCCGUCUGUGGGUUUCUAGUGGUGCUGGUGCUUGGGCAGGUUGUCUUGGGUCAUGGCUGUCCCAGUGAGGCCCAUGGUAUGAAGGAGUCCCAGGAAGGAUGUAUUUCCCAAGUAAGUGUAUUAAUCUCAUAAGAGCAAGCAUUAAGCUGCUAGGAUAGGACCUGCUAACAAUAGGGUACAUUGACGGUGUGGCAGGCUUAUGCAAUAUAUGAUCAUAUAAUGUAACUAAACCCCCAUUAUUUUUGCCUAGGUGAGGUGUUUUUAAAUAAAACUACUACAAUCUCUAAGAUUUGAAAUCAUUGUAUAGUGAAUAAGCGAGUGUGCUGGAUUCUGUAUUUUAUAUAUUUUGGUCCCAGCAGCACCCUAUAAUGUAUGCAUGUUCAGGUGAGUACAGCCCUUUUGGAUUUGGGUGUGUAUAUAUAUACACACACUUACAAUGGGGGUGCAUCAGAGCACUCUUGGCACAAUAACCACUACAGCUUGCAAGAGUGGUAAUGCUUCCUGGAACCUUUCUUUAAAGCAGGGUACAGGUUUUACUUACCUGAAGUGGUUAAUCAUGGCUGCUGCCAUCAUAUUCUUGGGGCACCUCUUCAGUUUCUUGCGCAUCACCUGCCAAAGCUGUUGGCUUGCGCAUACACAAGAGUACAACACUAAGGUCUAUGAAAAGGCCCACAAGACCUCCAUAGAUCAAUGUCUGCAUCCCACAGCUGUCACUUUGAUGGCUGCUGGGAUGGGACAAACGAUGUCUGCAAAGCUCUGCCUUUUGUCAAAAUCAGGUAUGUCCAUAAGUGCCUUCUUUCUCUUAUGGUAUCUUGCAAUUGAGUUAGAAUUUCAAUGAAAUUCCAACGCAGUCAGCAUUAGUAUUUCAUAAAGAUUUUAUCUUUGUUACAUACUGAAAAGUAAGAGAGCUGCUUUAAGGUCUGAAAUGGUCCCAUAGUGCACACUGGUCUUAUACAUUGAUUUAAAAAUUGUGAAUGUACAUUAUAGAAACAUAGAAUGUGACGGCAGAUAAGAACCAUUCGGCCCAUCUAGUCUGCCCAAUUUGCUAAAUACUUUCAUUAGUCCCUGGCCUUAUCUUAUAGUUAGGAUAGCCUUAUGCCUAUCCCACGCAUGCUUAAACUCUUUUACUGUGUUAACCUCUACCACUUCAGCUGGAAGGCUAUUCAAUGCAUCCAUAACCCUCUCAGUAAAGUAAUACUUCCUGAUAUUUUUAUACCUUUGUCCCUCUAAUUUAAGACUAUGUCCUCUUGUUGUGGUAGUUUUCUUCUUUUAAAUAGAGUCUCCUCCUUUACUGUGUUGAUUCCUUUAUGUAUUUAAAUGUUUCUAUCAUAUCCCCCCUGUCUCGUCUUUCUUCCAAGCUAUACAUGUUAAGUUCCUUUAACCUUUCCUUGUAAGUUUUAUCCCGCAAUCCAUGAACCAAUUUAGUAACCCUUCUCUGAACCCUCUCUAAGGUAUCAAUAUUCUUCUGAAGAUACGGUCUCCAGUACUGCGUACAAUACUCCAAGUGAGGUCUCACCCGUGUUCUGUACAAUGGCAUGAGCACUUCCCUCUUUCUACUGCUAAUACCUCUCCCUAUACAACCAAGCAUUCUGCUAGCAUUUCCUGCUGCUCUAUUACAUUGUCUGCCUACCUUUAAGUCAUCAGAAAUAAUCACCCCUAAAUCCCUUUCCUCAUAUGUUGAGGUUAGGAUUCUAUCAAAUAUUCUGUACUCUGCCCUUGGGUUUUUACGUCCAAGAUGCAUUAUCUUGCACUUAUCCACAUUAAAUGUCAGUUGCCACAAUUCUGACCAUUUUUCUAGUUUACCUAAAUCAUUUGUCAUUUGGCUUAUCCCUCCUGGAACAUCAACCCUGUUACAUAUCUUAGUAUCAUCAGCAAAAAGACAUACCUUACCAUCAAGACCUUCUGCAAUAUCACUAAUAAAAAUAUUAAAGAGAAUGGGUCCAAGUACAGAUCCCUGAGGUACUCCACUGGAGACAAUCCAAACUUCGAAUAUAUUUCAUUAACUACAACCCUCUGUUGCCUGUCACUCAGCCACUGCCUUACCCAUUCAACAAUAUUGGAAUCCAAACUUAAAUAUUGCAGUUUAUUGAUAAGCCUUCUAUGUGCAACAGUGUCAAAAGCCUUACUGAAAUCUAGGUAAGCAAUGUCUACUGCACCACCCUGAUCUAUAAUUUUAGUUAUUAUCUUUAGGUUUCUCUGAGGAACAGCAGCAAAUCCUUUCAAGCCAUACAAGUUGCGAUCUAGGGCCUCUAUGGAUCACAUUUGUUGUUCCAGCCUUUAUCUCACAGGGCAUUCUGUUGCCUUUUCUUCCCUGGUAAAGAAAAGGCAACAGGAUGCAAUUGUCAUCCACCUGAUCUAAAAGAAAACAUGAUUCAUCAGAUCAGGCAACCUCCUUCCAUUGCUCCAUGGUCCAGUUCUGAUGCCCAUGUCCCCAUUGAAGGCGGUUUCACUGGUGUACAGGGGUCAUCUUUGGCACUCUGACUGGUGUGCAGCUACGCAGCAAGUUGUAAUCUGACACCUUUCUAUCAUGGGCAGCAUUUAGUAUUUCACCAAUUUGAGCUACAGUGGCACUUGUGUGUUUGGACCAGACUGGCUAGCCAUCGCUCCCCGAAUCCAUCAAUGAACCAUCACUAUUUAGCCCUUUGUCAAAGUCUCUCUUCUUUGCUCGCCCAUUUCCGAUCUUUUUUGUAUGCCCAUUUUCCCUCCUUCCAACAAAUGAAAUUCAAGAGCAGACUGUUCACGUGCUGCCUGAUAUCUCCAAUCCAUUGACAGGUGUCACUGUAAUGAUAUUAACUUCACCUGUUUUAUGUUGUGGCUAACCAGUGUAGAGGCUGUAACACAUGUCCACUUUGAUUUUAAAAGGAACACGGCAACCCCUAACAUAAGUAGUCAAACAGUUACAUCUUACAGGAGGUUUGCCGGAUGCGACAACCUUUCUCCUGUAAAGAAGAAAAAGAGCCUGGAGUGGGCACUCUCAGCCAAUGAUUUAGCCCAGCGGGGAUUAUGCAAAACGUGGAUAGGGACUAGCACUUGUUUCUAACUGUAUAAUAUACCAAUGUAUGUAGAACAAUCAUAUGUAAAUAAGCAGCUAAACAUUUGUGUGACUCCUUACAAUAUCACUAAACAAAUAUACAAAAAGAAAAAGAAUGUAGCGCUUUUGUAGUGGAUAAACAAACUAUCACCUUUUAGUUUGCAUAGGAGGUAAAUUUUCACUUUGGUCUCAAAUUAGUUGAAAUCUAUAAAAGAUAAUCAAACAUAGUGUAGAUGGUAGAUAGCAAAAGGGUAUAUAUAUGAUCUAUACAUACUCACAAACAAGAGAGCUGCGGACCCAUCUCUAGUUUGAAUCGCUUCUGGGUCCGUGUAGACGACCCACCCCUACUGUUGAUGUAUAUCUUGUCCUGAAGGGGAAUUAACACACAAAACAUUGCGCAGUAUUGCUUGUGAUGAUAAGGUAUAAAGUUAGGUUCCCAAAUGGGUACUUACAAGCCAGGAGUCUAAAUUGACUCUGUAUGUGAGCGUUGUGCAGAUUAGGGACUGCACUGCCAUAUGCAGAAUGAUGAAUGUAGAACCAGGAUGUAAAGAUGCUAAAAUAAAACAAAAUUUAUUAAUACCAUCUAUAAAAUAAAAAUGGCACAACAGCAGGGAUGAGCUCAACAGCACUGCAGAAGCU